GAGCAAGUGGAUCUUUUGGUUUACGAGGGGCACAUGGACCAGCAGGCCCAAAGGGGGUGACUGGGAUUCCAGGAUCUCAAGGACUGCCUGGGAACCAAGGCGGCCGAGGCUUAAAAGGUGCCAAAGGAGAUGCUGGAAGCAAAGGUGAAC
This is a long non-coding RNA of Ahaetulla prasina, 150 nucleotides long. RefSeq lists it as uncharacterized. The transcript is spliced from 3 exons. Lineage: Eukaryota; Metazoa; Chordata; Lepidosauria; Squamata; Colubridae. The record is from RefSeq and is a predicted model, not a curated record.